AAAGGAGCGCUAAUACCGCAUGAGACCACGUCCUGUAAUGGAUGAGGUCAAAGCCGGCCUCUUCAUGAAAGCUGGCGCCUGAGGAUGGGCCUGCGGCCCAUCAGCUAGUUGGUGGGGUAAUGGCCCACCAAGGCAAAGACGGGUAGCUGGUCUGAGAGGAUGAUCAGCCACACUGGAACUGAGACACGGUCCAGACUCCUACGGGAGGCAGCAGUGGGGAAUCUUGCGCAAUGGGCGAAAGCCUGACGCAGCGACGCCGCGUGAGUGAUGAAGGCCCUAGGGUUGUAAAGCUCUGUGGGGAGGGACGAAUAAGCGGCGGCUAAUACCCGACGUGAUGACGGUACCUCCUUAGCAAGCACCGGCUAACUCUGUGCCAGCAGCCGCGGUAA
Molecule: ribosomal RNA, 389 nt
Filed under: uncultured delta proteobacterium
Lineage: Bacteria; Deltaproteobacteria
Description: bacterial SSU rRNA
Rfam family: Bacterial small subunit ribosomal RNA
Source: RNAcentral